UCCACAGGUGUCUUUAUGGAUUUUCAUUAC
RNAcentral lists this non-coding RNA (30 nucleotides) under Mus musculus (house mouse). The record is from RNAcentral. Lineage: Eukaryota; Metazoa; Chordata; Mammalia; Rodentia; Muridae.